Molecule: long non-coding RNA, 2049 nt
Filed under: Bemisia tabaci
Lineage: Eukaryota; Metazoa; Arthropoda; Insecta; Hemiptera; Aleyrodidae
Description: lncRNA ENSSSA1UGG003666
Source: RNAcentral
AUGAUUAAACACUCACUUCCGACCGUCAUCCUCCAUGUGUUAUUAUGUCUACAUAAAGAAACUCUUGGGAGGAACCUCAUCCAAUCGAUGAUGGGAGAGGGUAUGCCAGACAGGGGUCUACUGUCGCAACUAGUCCUCGACGCAGCACCUCCGAGAGCGGGCAGCCUACUCGACCGUAAUAGUUGGACGGUCACUUGCGAAAACUCCCACGCGGGGAACGAGUGCAGCAACAUGAUAGACGGCGAUCAAGCAUCCUUCUACCACAGCGAGUAUGAGCCGACAGCAACCCCUCUUCCGCACACUAUCACCAUCGACAUGAAAGAAACCCGCAACGUGAACGGAAUUGUCAUGCUCCCGAGACAAGACGGCGGUAGGAACGGUAUAAUCGCCGGGCACUCCAUACACGUGUCCCAGGAUGGCAGGAUUUUCAGCGACCCCGUGGCUCUCGGCACUUGGUUCGCGGACACGACCGAGAAGUUUUCCGUCUUCGAGCCCGUCAAAGCCCGCUACAUCAGAAUCGUCCACACGACGGAGCCGGAGAAUCAACCCUUCACCUGCGUCGCAGAACUAGGCGUCUUCACGACGCCCACCUUCACCGCCCCACACUCGAGUCUCGGGAUCUGGGGGCCGACGAUCGAUUGUCCGAUCGUCCCCUCGGCGGUCGCCGUCCUGCACGACGGGAAGGUCCUCAUGUGGUCGUCCUACUCGCAGGACGCGUUCGUGGGGGGUCCGGGCGGAUUGACAUUCACGGCCACUUACGAUCCGACGACCACGACUAUCUCCCAACGCACGGUUACCGACACGCACCACGACAUGUUCUGCCCGGGGCUCUGCCAAGAUGCCAACGGGCGCGUCUUCGUGACGGGCGGCAACGAUGCCUCCAGAACGAGCAUCUACGAACCGGGCAUCGACUCGUGGGUCUCGGGUCCGAAUAUGACCAUCUCGAGAGGGUACCAGGCGUCGACGCUCUGCGCCGACGGGCGGAUUUUCGUGAUCGGCGGGUCGUGGAACGGGGGCGUGGGUAAUAAAAACGGAGAGAUCUACGAUCCGACGACCAAUAGGUGGAGCCUGCUCCCCGGGUGCCCCGUGCAACCCAUGUUGACGGCGGACAAACAGGGCAUCUACCGUGGGGACAACCAUGGUUGGCUGUUCGGCUGGAAAGGCAACUCCGUGUUUCAAGCCGGCCCGAGUAAGGCCAUGAACUGGUAUUCGACCACCGGCGCGGGUGGCCACCGAGGUGCUGGGCUUCGCGGCAGGGAUGCCGAUGCCAUGUGCGGGGUGGCCGUCAUGUACGACGCGGUUGCCGGCAAGAUCUUGACCGCAGGGGGAGCGCCGAGCUACAUGCAAGAGGCAGCCACGACCAACGCCCAUCUCAUCACCAUCGGGAACCCGAAGGCGGAUCCUCAGGUCCAAGAGACUGGCAACAGGAUGAACUUCCCGCGCAUCUACCACAACGGCGUGGCGCUCCCGAACGGCGAGGUCUUCAUCGUUGGUGGUCAGAUUGUAGGCACGCCGUUCUUCGACGAGGGUUGGCAGAACACGUCGGAGAUCUACUGUCCGAAGAGGGAUCGGUUCCGACCGGCGGCUGUCAACUCCAUCCCUCGCAACUACCACUCUUUCGCUGUCCUCCUCCAGGAUGCUACUGUUAUCAGCGGGGGCGGAGGGCUCUGCGGAAGCUGUGAUACGAAUCACUUCGACUUUCAAAUCUACUCCCCGGCGUACCUGUUCAACUCUGAUGGGAGCAAGGCGACCAGACCUGUCAUUACUUCCGUGUCCUCUACGACGGUGAGACCGGGAGGUAGACUGGCCUUCAAGACGGACGGUAAGAUAAUUUCGGCGAGUCUCGUCCGUUUGGGCAGCGCCACGCACACCGUUGAUACCGAUCAAAGGAGAGUCCCCCUGGACCUGAGAGCAGCCAGCGCGAACUCUUAUAAUGUGGUUCUACCGGCGGAUUCCGGCAUAUUGAUACCGGGGUAUUGGUUUUUGUUCGUCAUGAACGGGAAGGAUGUACCUAGCAUAGGAAAAAUAAUAAAAGUUGCGUUAUCCUAA